CCUAUUGAGUGUUAUAUCAAAUGAUAGUAGAAGUGAGAUUUACCUCACUUUGAGGUCAGACACGGUGAUGUAGGAA
This 76-nucleotide non-coding RNA is filed under the name unclassified sequences. The record is from Rfam.